RNAcentral lists this ribosomal RNA (253 nucleotides) under uncultured bacterium. Its description in RNAcentral is "partial 16S ribosomal RNA". It matches the Rfam family "Bacterial small subunit ribosomal RNA", at positions 524 to 776 of the family's 1533-position model. The record is from RNAcentral.
GACGGAGGGUGCUAGCGUUGUUCGGAAUGACUGGGCGUAAAGGGCGCGUAGGCGGCUCGUGAAGUCGGGUGUGAAAGCCCGGGGCUCAACCCCGGAACGGCAUCCGAUACUGGCGGGCUUGAGACCGGGAGAGGAGGGUGGAAUACCUAGUGUAGAGGUGAAAUUCGUAGAUAUUAGGAAGAACACCGGUGGCGAAGGCGGCCCACUGGAUCGGUACUGACGCUGAGGUGCGAAAGCGUGGGGAGCAAACAGG